GCCGGUGUAGCUCAGUCGGUAGAGCAACUGUUUCGUAAUCAGUAGGUCGGGGGUUCAAUUCCUCUCACCGGCACCA
Molecule: transfer RNA, 76 nt
Filed under: Gammaproteobacteria bacterium
Lineage: Bacteria; Pseudomonadati; Pseudomonadota; Gammaproteobacteria
Description: tRNA-Thr
Rfam family: tRNA
About the family: Transfer RNA (tRNA) molecules are approximately 80 nucleotides in length. Their secondary structure includes four short double-helical elements and three loops (D, anti-codon, and T loops). Further hydrogen bonds mediate the characteristic L-shaped molecular structure. tRNAs have two regions of fundamental functional importance: the anti-codon, which is responsible for specific mRNA codon recognition, and the 3' end, to which the tRNAs corresponding amino acid is attached (by aminoacyl-tRNA synthetases). tRNAs cope with the degeneracy of the genetic code in two manners: having more than one tRNA (with a specific anti-codon) for a particular amino acid; and 'wobble' base-pairing, i.e. permitting non-standard base-pairing at the 3rd anti-codon position.
Source: RNAcentral